AAAAAAAAUUGUCAGGUGUCAGUUGUCAAAAAAAAAAAGUCAGGUAUCAGACAAAAAAUUGUCAGGUGUCAGAAAAAAAGUUGUCAGGUGUCAGAAAAAAAGUUGUCAGGUGUCAGAAAAAAAAUUGUCAGGUGUCAGAAAAAAAGUUGUCAGGUGUCAGAAAAAAAAUUGUCAGGUGUCAGAAAAAAAGUUGUCAGGUGUCAGAAAAAAAAUUGUCAGGUGUCAGAAAAAAAAUUGUCAGGUGUUAGAAAAAAAAUUGUCAGGUGUCAGAAAAAAAGUUGUCAGGUGUCAGAACACAAGGUACCAGAGAGAAAAUCUUCCUGCAGGUGGCGCUGUUGUCAUGUCCCACCCGAAUUGAUUUCCAAAUACGUCAUCAACGUGUGACCGUGGGAGAGCGUAAGGUCAUUGACCUCACCGGAGUUUUACCGUGGUUCAGGCUCCUAACGACACAAGGUAAGUUUAACUUUUUCUCCCUUUUGUUCAUAUUUUUGCCAC
Astatotilapia calliptera (eastern happy) is the source of this 495-nucleotide long non-coding RNA. NCBI's taxonomy places the organism in Eukaryota, Metazoa, Chordata, Actinopteri, Cichliformes, Cichlidae. The record is from Ensembl.